CCUCCUGUCGCUCAGCCCGCUUGCGGGAGCGGCCCCCGCUCCCCUCCUCCCCCUCCCUUGCCGAGGUGGCUUCCUGUUUGCCAGGGUUUGUGUGAGAGACAAUGAGCGAGGCCUUGCUCGGGUGGGCUCGGGCUGAGGGGGGGGGGGGAGAGCCUGGCCGCGGCGGCCGCCUAAACCGGCAAUUGGAAGGAAGAGAGGCCCCGAGGCAGCCGCGUCAGGGCUGUUGGCCUUUUCCCUCAUGAGAGAGCUUCGCUUUAUAAAGCGCUUGAGGCCUGCUCCCCUCAGAACGGUUCUCUCCUCGGGCCCUGCUCGAUUUCCGUGGGUUUGAAUUCUCCCUCGUUCCGGCUGCCACUCAGCGUUUUGUGACAGCGGCUCUAGGGAGGAGGAGGGAAAGUUGGAGGCUGCGCUUAUGGACCGAAAACAAAACCACCCCCUCCCCCCCAAAAAAUAAAAAAAAAUUCUCCAGUUAAAAUGUCGGCGCGCUGCGGGCCAAUCAGGCCUCGCUUGCGAAUGUUUUGAAGGCCCUGAAGUGCCAGACCCGGGCCUUGUGCCUACGUGUUAAUGUCAUCUGUUAACUUUUUUCCAGAAGCGGGUUUCUUUUUAAAAAAUAUUUCAGGCCUUAGUUCCCACGAGCUAAAAGGACAUUGAUUUCCAGUAUUUAGUCUCUGGUUAAGAGAGUUUUGAAUAUGAAUGGGGCUUCGUCUUGGCGAAUGAUGAGCUUAGUAAAACACUUGAGUUUUAAAAUUAUAAACAGUUGAGCAUCUCUAAUUUCUCUCUCCAUGGUUUUAUAUAAUCAGCUUUUAUAUUGCUUACUGUGAGUUCAUAGAGCAACAUAAAAAAAAUACUGCUUAAAGCACAAAAGCAGUAAAUCCACAUUUCUCAGUGGCAAAACUGCCGUGAUUAUAGUGAAAUUCCUUCCAGUAACACCUUAGAGACCAACUAAGUUUGUUAUUGGUAUGAGCUUUUGUGUGCAUGCACACUUCUUUAGAUACCUUUGUUUUUAUUUUGACUACAGCAGACCAACACAGCUACCUACCUGCAACUGUGAUUAUAAUGGUUCUGAAUUGUUCCUGAAGAAAGCAAUUCCAUCUCCCACUGAGAUCAAUGGCGAAAUAUCCAUUGAUUUAAUUCUAAUGGAUUGGGCGCUAAUCCUCAAGGAUUUCUUGAAUUAGGAUCUGUAUAAAUUUGUCAAAAUUACAUGGAUGGUUUUUUUAGAUGUGUUUUGGAUUUUUGUUAUUGAUAUGUGUCACACCAAAAUGCACUUCAACUAUAAAUAGCAUAGGGAUUGUUUUAUAUAUUUUUGCGUAGAUCCCUUGUUGAGUUUGAGGUUGGCUUGAAGGCAGUGUUGAACUCUUGAAGACAUGCGUUCUGAUACUGUCCAUGUUUGCUAAGAAUUAACUGAUACUGUUAAGUGGUGCUUCCUUUCUAGUAAGUGUACUCACAGGAUUCCAGCAGCUAUUUUACUUUGGGGUGGGGGACUUCAACAUACAAUCUGUGGUUAGUUCAGAACUUUUUGACAUCUUAGUGAAAAGCAUUUAGUGAGCAUAAUAACUGACACAGCACAUGAUGGGAAUAAGAUGGAUUCUAUAUGUUAUGAAAUACAGUCUGUUCAUCAGACAUAGAAAUUGCCAGGAUUUGGUCAUUAUGUUCUAAGUGUAGGUACAAUAGACCAAUAUACAUGAGACUUCCUCCUUUUCUAUGUCUAUUUGUGGCUGGCCAAGAAUGGAUGGUGUUCAUGUUAUCAGAUGGUGUGCAGCUAUAAAACUGAUCAAAGCAAAAUAAUUUUUCUGUUUCAGUUUUGGAUUACUUUCAGUUAAGGCAAGGGAAUAGUCAUGAAUUCAUCCAUAUUUAAAAUAUUGCAUAUUUUCAUUUUAAAGCACAAGCGAGUUUCCCCCUUAUUUUGGUUGUGGGCGCAAGAAAGCUGAAAGGAGACUUGCAGCAGAAGAGGGAGAUCUGGCUUGACAGCACCAUCACCACAACUACCUCCACCUUGCCUAUCAGCUCAGACUCCGCCCCCCCCUUAGUGCUCCUAGCGACUCAUUGGCUGCAGUGCUCUGUGGCCUAGACACUUUCUGCCUCAAGCCAACAGCAAACCAUGUAAAUGAAUAAUAAUGUAAACAUGAAAAUUAAUACUGAUUUAUGAGACAUUUGGGGCAGCUAAUGUGAAAGUAGCUGUUGGGCACUGUUCACUGAACCCCAGUUCAUCAGUGAAAGGGAACCGUGGACACACACAGCUUCAGAGGUUAGAUGUAGUAACUACUCUCAGCAGAGGGAAUACAGAAAUCAAAAGCUUGCAACCAAUUCAAAACACUGAAAAUCUUUCCUAAAAAGGGUUGUCUUGGUAAUAUGGCGAACUGCCAUUAGGGAAGAAGCAAGGCCGGCCUUGGGAGGGAUCAGUUCAGGCCGCAGUAGCGAGAAAGGCCUUUUCUCUUAUCCCAACCAGAUGUAUUUUCAGGAGACGGAAGAGGGCUUCCAUUGAUAGUUCUUAAUAUGUGGGAAAGGUUGUGUGGGAGAAGAUGUCCUUCAGAUAGCAUGUUCACAAACAGUAACGGUUAAUGGAUGUUUUUACAAUCUUUGAAACUGCCAAGAAAAAUAUUGUCCCUGGAAUAUAUAAAUAACUGUAAGCAAACAGUGUCAUGUUUGCCCCAGUUUGUUCUUUUAGAUAGAACUUCUUCAAGUUUGAUAAAAGGUCAUGGAUUCAGUUUUAAUGAAGAGUGAAAGUAGAUUUGAAUGUGUCUCUUUGUAUUAUGUUUUCUAGGGGACACAAUAUAUAUAUAUACAGUGGACCCUCUGGAUACGAAUUAAAUUUGUUCCGGGGGUCCGUACUUAACCUGAAAAGUCUGUAACUGGAGGCGCCGCUUCUGUGCACACAUGCGGCAUUAUGAGCGCUUCUGCGCACGCGCGCGGUGAAACCCAGAAGUAUACACUUCCAGGUUUGCCACGUUCGCAACCCAAAAGUUACAUAUCCAGAGCAGUAUGUAACUCUCUCUCUCUGUGUGUGUGUGUGGUGUUGUUUAGUCAUGUCCAACUCUUCGUGACCCCAUGGACCAGAGCACGCCAGGCACUCCUGUCUUCCACUGCCUCCCACAGUUUGGUCAAACUCAUGUUAGUAGCUUCGAGAACACUGUCCAACCAUCUCGUCCUCUGUCGUCCCCUUCUUGUGCCCUCAAUCUUUCCCAACAUCAGGAUCUUUUCCAGGGAGUCUUCUCUUCUCAUGAGGUGGCCAAAAUAUUGGAGCCUCAGCUUCAGGAUCUGUCUUUCCAGUGAGCACUCAGGGCUGAUUUCCUUAAGAAAUAUUAUAUUAUAUAUUAUUAUAUUAUAUAUUAUUACAUUAUAUUAUGUGUCCUCCAGAAAACAUAAUACGUACAAAGAGACAUAUUCAAAUAUAUAUACACACACAUGCUCAAAAUAUCUGAUUAAAUGGAAAACGGCUUUAAUUUUUUUUUAUUGCCUUUCAUCUAUCCUGUUAAAGUUUUUAGUAUAGUGCCUGUCUGACUGCAAAUCUGUCUACGCUACUGUGCAAUGGUAUUGUGUUACACACCACAUAGAUAAAGCUGUCAAACUUGUGUUUUGAAUACAUUUUCAGGAUUUGAUGAGUAGGGCUUUUCAAAUGGGGUUGAGACUCUGCAUGUCUGGUGCAUGCAUACUCUUUCAACACAGGAGCAACAGUUUUCAAAGGUUGCUUAUAGUGAUACACACUCUAUACAUGUAUAAUGUUGAGAACCACAGUCAUUUGCAGAUAUCAAACAAACACCAAAGAACAAAUUAAACUCCAGAUCAGAGAAAAGGUCCAACAAUGACAUGAAAGCGGAGUUCAAUUUUUAUUUAACCAACUGAACCCUAGGCCUAGCCUGUGCUGUGGUAUAGAAUAAUAUGGAGUCAUUAAAACACUUGAGCUUUGAGAGCAGCUUUCAGUACAGUGAUAGAUGUCACUGGCAAUUCAUGGUAUCUGUUUCAUAUGUAUUUUUACAGCCAUCCCUAUAGUAAAGUUUCGUUGUGGUUUACAUGAAAAGAGCCUGCUACAUCAGGCCCGUGGCUCACUUAGUCCAGCAUCCUGUUUUCACAGUGGCAAACCAGAUGCAUGUGGAAAGCAUGCAAGCAGGGCAUGAACACAGCAGCACUCUGCCCACUUGUGACUACAGGCAAUGAGUAUUCAGAAGUGGAACACAGCUAUUGUGACUACUAGCCAAUGAUGAACUUUAUCCUCCAUGAAUUUGUCUAAUCCUCUUUUAAAGCCAUCCAAGUUGGUGGCUCCCCAUUUAUAGAAGGUUCUCCCCAGGGAAAUUUUGCUAGUGCCUUUAUUAUACACAUUUAGGUGCCAGGCUAUAACAUUCCUCUUCAGCCUGGCUGAUUAAUACCCAAUGCCCUUCUAAAUGUGUUUGGGGAGGGGAGGGGCGUUCAUUGGUUUGUGUCUUUAAUGUUCUUGCUUUUCUUAUGUAUUUCGUAUUUUUAUGUUGUGAACCGUCCUGAGAUGAAGGCGGGUAUACAGAUUUAAUAAAUGAAAUAAAAAUAACUGCUUUGGUAGUAUUUGUAAAUCUAUAUAAAGAUUGUAUGUUUAUGUCAAUUGUGGCAGAAUAACAAAAGAAUUUGAUUUUUUUAAGAUAGGAAUGGUUUGGUAGUAUGUUAGGUGACAAUGAAAGCUGAAUAGUAAAGCCAUGCCACCAGUUAAAUGGGACAAAGGUCUGAAACAUACCGUAUUUUUCGCCCCAUAGGACGCACCGGCCCAUAGGACACAUCAAGUUUUUUUGGGGGGGGGAAAUAAAGGGAAAAAAAAUUAUUUCCCCCCCCCAGGCGCUUGUGGGGCCGGCAGCGGGGAGAAGCGCUCUUCUCCCCGCAGUCCGCCUUCAGACCAGGUCCGGGGACAGCGGGGAGAAGCGCUCUUCUCCCUGCCACCGCCUUGAGAUCAGGUCCGGGGACAGCUGGGAGACGCACUGCGCCUCCCAGCUGUCCCCGGAGCUUGCGGGGCAGGCAGCGGGGAGAAGCGCUCUUCUCCCCGCCGCCCGCCUUCAGAUCAGCUCUGGGGACAGCAGGAAGACGCACUGCGUCUCCCAGCUGUCCCCGGAGCUUGCGGGGAAGGCAGCGGGGAGAAGCACUCUUCUCCCCGCCGCCCGCCUUCAGAUGGAGGUCCGGGGACAGCAGGAAGACGCGCUGCGUCUCCCAGCCGUCCCCGGAGCUUGUGGGGCAGGCAGCGGGGAGAAGCACUCUUCUCCCCACUGCCCGCCUUCAGAUGGAGGUCCGGGGACAGCAGGAAGACGCGCUGCGUCUCCCAGCUGUCCCCGGGGCUGGCGGCAGGGUCUCCCCGCCGUCAGCCUCCAAACCACUUCGGGAGACAGCGGGAUGGCGGCGUUCCGCCUCCCUCUGUCCACCGACCUUGUGGGGCUGGCGCUGGGGCUCUCCUGAAGCCUGGAGAGCGAGAGGGUCGGUGCGCACCGACCCCUCUCGCUCUCCAGGCUUCAGUGAAAGCCUGCAUUCGCCCCAUAGGACACAUACACAUUUCCCCUUCAUUUUUGGAGGGGAAAAAGUGCAUCCUAUAGGGCGAAAAAUACGGUAGUCCUUAGAGUGGAAAAUUCAUCAGCCAUGCUGAAACUCCCUUCCCCCCCCCCCCCCAAAAAUAAGGAAAAUUAGCUAGGUGGAAAAUGUAAGAUAGCAGACAUUACCACAUUUUCCCUUAUCAAAGGCCCAGUAAGGUGUUUUUGAUACCUUAAGUAGAAGUAAUUGUGAUAAAGGAACCCAUAUUGUUUGACAUUAAACAUAAGUUGGCACUGUUAGAUCCCCCAACAUAUUUUUUAAAAAAGCUUUUAUGGGUUAUUGUGAAUAUAUUUUAUUUGAAACAUUUGUAAUUUUUUACUUUUUUACUUUUUUUUACAGUGGCAUGUGUAAUGUACGCAAAUCUCCCAGCAGCCAAACAAUGCCAACCCCUGUACUGAAAGUAGUUCCAGGGGCUCAGCCAGAAAGAGGAGACGGGAAGACUUGAUGCAUGGCCUGUGUAUAUUGAUGAAGAGUAUAAGGAUACCAGAAGUGCCUUUCACAUAGACUUGUGGAAUAAAAUGAAUGAAGAGUCAAGCACUGGAGCGCACUGUAUAAAUACGGAAUUUGUAUGAGAAUGUCGAUUGGGAUAGUAGUCCGGAAGGUAAUGUAUUUUCACAAAAUACGCAAGGCUACCUUUGCAUCUAGAAGCAAGCUGUACGUAGGAACAAAAAAGAAGACAAAAUGGUAGUGCCGUGUGCUGAGCGAUGCAACAAAAUUGUCGUAGUCCAUCACCACUGACUCUGUAUCAAGAACCAGAUGUGAUGCCCUUCAUAAUAAAAAUGUAUGUGUAUUUAAGGUGCAAGGAACCCCAAGUCAUGGCAGUAUUGUCUAUAUAUCACCAAGUGAUUAACUCCAGAUGACAGCAAUUCCAGAGGUUCCACAAAUGUUUUUCAAGCAUAUUCAUUAUGGUGCAUUUGGUUGAAAGACCCAAUAAUAUUAGAGGGCUUUCUAAAAUACUCUCAGGUUUCUUACAGGCUUUAUUCAUGGAACAAAAUUAGCCACAAUAAGGGAGGUGUUUCCAAACAAGCAGCAAGUGGACAGUGAUAAACAGUUAUUCAACAGGGUUGCCAUGUGUUUGCAUGCUAUUCCAUUUACUGAAGCUGGGUUGAUGUGACAAACACACAUUGAAGCACAAAAUAAUUCAAAAGAACCCAAGGGCCUAUGCAAACAUAUAACAUAGCUCAGAAAUACUGCUGUUAAAGGCUUUUGAAAUGACUGUGAUGAUCCAAACAGAUUAUAACAUGGACAUCACUGGUGUUUUCCAUCAUUACUGGGAAGCAAAUAUCAUUUCAGGCUCAAGUUUAAAACACUAUUUUAGAGGUCUGGUAAGAAUGUUAUUAUCUUGACAGAAACGGAUGAGUUGACUCAGAUACCCCUAUAUUGAGAGAUCAGAAAUAGCAAAGGAAAACAUAUUUUUCACCUAGCAAAAUUUCCCUCAAGUUUUGGGGUGAGUCAUCUUGGCCCAAUAUACUCUCCACCCAUUUAAGGUACUAAAACAACCUUCAAAAACUCCUUUUCCUUUUGCUCAAAACAAGUACAAGCUGAAAGCUGUUUCAAUGCACAUGUUGGAGAUCCUUACCACUUUGUAUUGAUACUACUGAUGAUACAUUCUACUCAAUAAAAUUAUAUUUUUAUACUUACACAUU
Non-coding RNA from Podarcis lilfordi (Lilford's wall lizard), 7175 nucleotides. The record is from the annotation of a GenBank genome assembly. NCBI's taxonomy places the organism in Eukaryota, Metazoa, Chordata, Lepidosauria, Squamata, Lacertidae.